UGGGGAAUAUUGCGCAAUGGGCGAAAGCCUGACGCAGCGACGCCGCGUGAGGGAUGAAGGUUCUCGGAUCGUAAACCUCUGUCAGAAGGAAAGAAAUGUAGCUGUGCUAAUCAGCAGCUAUUUGACGGUACCUUCAAAGGAAGCACCGGCUAACUCCGUGCCAGCAGCCGCGGUAAUACGGAGGGUGCAAGCGUUAAUCGGAAUUACUGGGCGUAAAGCGUGCGUAGGCGGUUUUUUAAGUUAGUGGUGAAAGCCCCGUGCUCAACAUGGGAACUGCCAUUAAAACUGGGAAACUAGAGUGUGUGAGAGGAUAGUGGAAUUCCUGGUGUAGGAGUGAAAUCCGUAGAUAUCAGGAGGAACAUCAGUGGCGAAGGCGACUAUCUGGCACAUAACUGACGCUGAGGUACGAAAGCGUGGGGAUCAAACA
RNAcentral lists this ribosomal RNA (427 nucleotides) under uncultured Desulfovibrionaceae bacterium. RNAcentral's name for it is "partial 16S ribosomal RNA". It matches the Rfam family "Bacterial small subunit ribosomal RNA", at positions 355 to 774 of the family's 1533-position model. Lineage: Bacteria; Pseudomonadati; Thermodesulfobacteriota; Desulfovibrionia; Desulfovibrionales; Desulfovibrionaceae. The record is from RNAcentral.